AAGAUUCGAAAUCCUUGAGAAUACUACGAUAGUAAGAAUGUUUCCCAAUGUGCCCAAAAUUAUAUCGACGAUUCCAAUCACAAUACCGAUGUAUCUGAAACCAGAAAAAAGAAGCUGGAGCAAUUGCAGUUAAAUCUCCAAGCCGAAGGACACAGACACCCCCUAGGGUAACAACGGCGAGUCUUGAACCCGUAUAAACCUCUAGAAACUCUUGCAACGAGCGAAGCAAUUUCGCCAAGCAAGCAUUUCCCUUUGUGUGUAAUCUAUCGUUAUUUUUACAAUGUACUAAAACGAACCUAUUAUCGGAGCAAGAAACGCCCCAAGAGCAAUUGCGAAGUGAUAUCCGGAUAUGAUGGGCCGUGAAUCUUUCUCUCCCCACACUUGUAAAAUCAGCGCUUGCAUGCCUGCCACAAAAAGUAAAUGUUUGCAGUCAGCAAACACAAAGAUUAAUGCAUUACCUGCGUCCAAGAACCCAAACCCGAUACCACCAGCCAUCACUACGAUUAUGAGCAGCCACAAAGCUUCAAUCCAUGGAGUUGCAACGAUAACAGCAGCAACAAGAACACCGACCGAGCGUCCAGUAAACACCCAUGAAACUUGUCCAACAGUAGACCCCACAUUGUUGGCGAGCGUUAGUAAGGUCGGGCCAUGAAUUGAGAUAAACAAACCCUUCAAAAAUAGAGUUUACAUGAUCAAUUUGAUGAGUAAAAACAAUAAGAGUUUAGGUAGGCAGACGACAACCAUUGAGAGAGUCACCCCAAAAAGGUCGGCUGUUAUAAUUUGAAACGGUGUGAAAUAAUUUGCAAUCGCCACGCCACAAAAACGGCCCGCAGCAAAACCAACCCAAAACAUUGUAUUCAUUCCAGUGGCUGCAGUGACCUGAAAGGAGGCGAUGGCUUAAAACUACAACACACGGUCGCUGAGUAAAUGUAGCUGUUGUAUAUCGACUCCCCUGCCACGCAGAAGAAGUAAUAAGAAGUCACCAAAAAGAAGA
Ciona intestinalis (vase tunicate) is the source of this 994-nucleotide non-coding RNA. The record is from RefSeq and is a predicted model, not a curated record. Lineage: Eukaryota; Metazoa; Chordata; Ascidiacea; Phlebobranchia; Cionidae.